UCCCUUCAGAUUCUUGUCGGGUUAUGUAUAACGAGUUUGCAAAGCACGACAUUGCUCACACACUCUUAUAGCCGGGAUAUUAUUUUCCCGGCAUUUUUUU
This 100-nucleotide small RNA is filed under the name Shewanella woodyi ATCC 51908. Lineage: Bacteria; Pseudomonadati; Pseudomonadota; Gammaproteobacteria; Alteromonadales; Shewanellaceae. The record is from RNAcentral.